Molecule: long non-coding RNA, 2457 nt
Filed under: Corvus moneduloides (New Caledonian crow)
Lineage: Eukaryota; Metazoa; Chordata; Aves; Passeriformes; Corvidae
Description: lncRNA (ENSCMUG00000018045.1)
Source: RNAcentral
AGAAGGGGGAGGGGACAGGCGGGGACAGGGACGUGGGGGCUCCUCCGAGACCCGGACAUGGGGGUCCUGGUGAGGGCCCAUAUCUGCAGGGACCUGGGGACACCGACAUGUGCGGAGCUGUGGGGCCCCUUUUCUGGGGGACAGGGCAGCCCCAAGGCACACACGUCUGGGGGUCCUGGGGACACGGGGGCCCGGGGGGCCGUAGGGACAGGGGGCUCUCCGAGGGUCCUGGGAACACGGCGGGCCCGGGGGACCCGGCGGCUGGGGAGGGUUGAGUGGGGGGUCCUGGGGAGCCCCGUCCCGGGGGGUGCGGGCCGCGGUGUCCCGGGACUGCGGCCCCUCGGGGGUGGGGGGGAGGGGGGGCGGUCCCGGUCCCUCCCGUCGGGGGCGGCCGCUGGGGCCCGAGACGGGACGGGUACAGGAACGGGCGCACCGGUACGGGACCGACACCGACCCGCGGUACCGGGACCAUGGCGGGGCUGGCACGGUGCCAGCGCGAGGCCGAGGAGGUGGCAGAGCUGAUGCGACAGAACGUGGUGCGGGCGCUGGAGCGGGAGGGGCACCUGGAGCAGCUGCAGAGCCGUGCCCAGGACCUGCGACAAGCGGUGGGACCACGGGGACACAGGGACCGGGGGAGGGAGGGGGCUUUAUAGGGACAUGUAAAUCCGGGGACACACAGAGCCCAGAGGACACUGUAGAGGCAUCAAGCCCCAGGGAGGACCGUUAUAGGAACAUAGGGCCUGGGGGGGACAGUAUAGGGACAUGCAGCCCUGCAAGAUACAUACAGAGCCCUGGGGGACACUAUGGGGACAUAAAUCCCAGGGGUGGACUUGCUCUAGGGACAUCGAGCCCUGCUGCUUCCUCCUGGGGAACUUAGAGGGCCCCAGGAGGGACAAACUAUUGGGUCACAGAGCUCUGGGGCGACCUAUAGUCCUGGGGGGCAUUGUGGGGACACAAAGGGGCUGCGGGACACUGUGGGGACAUAUAGCCUGGGGAAGAGGGACUCCAGGGCCAUAGGAGGGCUGGGGGGUGUCUGUUCCUAUAGGUCCCCCCAACCCCUGUGUAGCCCUUGGGGGACUGUUCCCUAUCCUCCCCAUGUCCCCACAGAGUGAAGCCUUCACCCGCACCGCACAGACGGUGACGCGGCGCCAGCGCAGGCGACAGCGGCGGUGGCACCUGGUGGCCCUCGGCCUCAGCCUCCUCCUCCUCUUCAUCCUGGGUCUGGCACUGGCGCUGGCCCUGGCACGGUCAUCGCCCGGGACUGUCACCAGCACUGUCCCCACCGCACGGGGGGAGACCAAGCACCCCCCCAGCACUGCGGGGACCCUGCUGGGACCCUCUGAUGACAGAACAACGGGGUCCCCACAAUAAAUAAACACCAGGAGCUGCGUGGGGAGACCCUACAAUAACAGCAACGAGCCAGUGGGAUGAUCUUCAAGGAGACUCAGCAACAGCAAACCUGGGGAGCUCUGGGGAGACCCUACCAUAAAUAAACCCUUUAAUAAAAUCUGCUCUGAAGAGACCCUACAAUAAAAAACCAGCAAGACUCACUCCAGGGAAACACUACAACAAGCACCAGGAGCUCCUUGGGGAGGCCCUACAGUCACAAACCAGGAAGAUGAACUUCAGGAAGACCCCAUAAUAAAUAAACACCAGGAUCUGUUUUGGGCUGACCCUACAAUAAUUAAGGCUUCAGAAUCUGAUUUGGAAAUACCCCACAACAACAAAUCAGCAGGAUGAAUUCUUGAGGAGACCCUACAAUAAAUAAACAUCAGGAUAUAUUGGGGAAGACCCCACAACAAGAAGCCUGUGGGAUCUACUUCAGGGAGACCCCACGAUAAAUAAACACCAGGAUCUGUUUUGGGGAGACUCUACAAUAACAAACCAGCAGGACCCACUCCUGGGAAACCCUACGAUAAAUAAGCACCAGCACAUGCUUUGGGGAGACCCUACAAUAACAGCAGUGGUAUCAGCUUGGGGGAGAUCCUACAAUCCCAAACCCACGGGAUGCAGGAAGAUCUUACAAUAACAAAUGUGCCAGAGCCUCCAGGGAGAUGCUACGAUCAAUAAACAUCAGGAUCUACUUCAGAGAGACCCUACAAUAACAAACCCCCAGGAUGAUCCCUGGGAAGACCCCACAAUAACAAACAUGGACCUCCUCUGGGGGAACCCUGUGAGAAAUAAACACCGUAACUUUUGUUUGGAGAGACCCUGUGAAAACCAACCAGCAGGACCCGCUCCAGGGAGACCCCAUGACAGACAUACUGGACCCUCUCUGGGGAGGCCCUACAGUAAAUAAACAUCACAAUCUGCUGGGGGUAGACCCUACAAUAACACAGUCAUGGGACCCACCCUGGGCACACCUGGCCCUGGCCAGAGGUGCCACCAACCUGGGCUGGGGGGCAGGAAGGGGCUGUGGCCCCUCCACCACGGUGGGGAACCCAGAGGGGACCCUGG